CCUACGGGUGGCAGCAGUGAGGAAUAUUGGUCAAUGGACGAGAGUCUGAACCAGCCAAGUAGCGUGAAGGAUGACUGCCCUAUGGGUUGUAAACUUCUUUUAUAAAGGAAUAAAACGAGGCACGUGUGCCUUUUUGCAUGUACUUUAUGAUUAAGGAUCGGCUAACUCCGUGCCAGCAGCCGCGGUAAUACGGAGGAUCCGAGCGUUAUCCGGAUUUAUUGGGUUUAAAGGGAGCGUAGAUGGGUUGUUAAGUCAGUUGUGAAAGUUGGCGGCGCAACCGUAAAAUUGCAAUUGAUACUGGCAGUCGUGAGUACAGUUGAGGUAGGCGGAAUUCGUGGUGUAGCGGUGAAAUGCUUAGAUAUCACGAAGAACCCCGAUUGCGAAGGCAGCUUACUAAACUGUGACUGACAUUGAUGCUCGAAAGUGUGGGUAUCAAACAGGAUUAGAUACCCUUGUAGUC
Molecule: ribosomal RNA, 460 nt
Filed under: uncultured bacterium
Lineage: Bacteria
Description: partial 16S ribosomal RNA
Rfam family: Bacterial small subunit ribosomal RNA
Source: RNAcentral